UUAUAUAUAUUUAUACCUAACCCAAUUGUUUGACUGCUUCAGGGCUCUAACAUCAACCCUAAACACCCACUGCCGCAUGCAUUCCUAGCUAGAGACGGACACUCUUACAAAGUCUUUGAAAUAUUCAGGGCACAGGAUCUUUUAUUCUUGAAGGUGAUUCAGCUUUUCUGUGCUGAUAAGGAGUAUGGAAGCCUCGUCAUCCAUGAAUCUCUUUACAGAUCUCUUGAAGAACCAUGGAUAUGUGUAUCAAGCUUUCCUCCAUGAAUUCGACCUGUACAAAAGAGGGCACAAGAGCAAACAUGACCUCUUCUGUGACAUGGUUGUUCUUGUUCAUCAAAACAAGGAUUUGCUUACAGAACUCCGAAAAGUACUCGUAGAGUCAACCUCAAAUCCUAUGCCAGAAGACAUGAACGUUGAUGCUGCUACUGCUUAGAAUUAUGAUUAGCAUAGGACACGAAUGUUUAACCUUUUCUUUUCCCAUCUCUUUUAUUGUCCUAAUUAAUAAUGUCCGUUGCCUCCUGUUUGCUCCUCAAAUUAUCUUAUUUAGGAUAUAUCUUUGAGGUGUUAAUCUUUCUCAAUUUCUUGUAUGGAGAUUUCAAGCUGUUGAUCAGUACAAUUUUAAGACCGCCCUUGUUUAAUUUUUUGCUUCAAUUAAUCUCUAUCUUGUAAAGGACUAAUUAAGGAGAGGUCACGAGUAAUUCAGAAAAUUAACUUGAAAUUAGCGUAAUGUAUUUUCGGAUUGAACUUUAAACUCAGCCCGAUUUUAAGAUA
This 771-nucleotide long non-coding RNA is filed under the name Populus trichocarpa (black cottonwood). Its description in RNAcentral is "long non-coding RNA (PTRI_LNC001188)". Lineage: Eukaryota; Viridiplantae; Streptophyta; Magnoliopsida; Malpighiales; Salicaceae. The record is from RNAcentral.